AUUGAACGCUGGCGGCAGGCCUAACACAUGCAAGUCGAGCGGAUGAAGAGAGCUUGCUCUCUGAUUUAGCGGCGGACGGGUGAGUAAUGCCUAGGAAUCUGCCUGGUAGUGGGGGAUAACGUUCCGAAAGGAACGCUAAUACCGCAUACGUCCUACGGGAGAAAGUGGGGGAUCUUCGGACCUCACGCUAUCAGAUGAGCCUAGGUCGGAUUAGCUAGUUGGUGAGGUAAUGGCUCACCAAGGCGACGAUCCGUAACUGGUCUGAGAGGAUGAUCAGUCACACUGGAACUGAGACACGGUCCAGACUCCUACGGGAGGCAGCAAUGGGGAAUAUUGGACAAUGGGCGAAAGCCUGAUCCAGCCAUGCCGCGUGUGUGAAGAAGGUCUUCGGAUUGUAAAGCACUUUAAGUUGGGAGGAAGGGUUGUAGAUUAAUACUCUGCAAUUUUGACGUUACCGACAGAAUAAGCACCGGCUAACUUCGUGCCAGCAGCCGCCGUAA
Molecule: ribosomal RNA, 500 nt
Filed under: uncultured bacterium
Lineage: Bacteria
Description: partial 16S ribosomal RNA
Rfam family: Bacterial small subunit ribosomal RNA
Source: RNAcentral